This is a non-coding RNA of Fulmarus glacialis (Northern fulmar), 46 nucleotides long. NCBI's taxonomy places the organism in Eukaryota, Metazoa, Chordata, Aves, Procellariiformes, Procellariidae. The record is from Rfam.
AAACAGGAUUCACUGGAAUCCAUGGAAUUUUUACUAUAACAUUUCU